Non-coding RNA from Podarcis lilfordi (Lilford's wall lizard), 74 nucleotides. The record is from the annotation of a GenBank genome assembly. Lineage: Eukaryota; Metazoa; Chordata; Lepidosauria; Squamata; Lacertidae.
ACCUGGGAUAGCUCAGUCGGUAGAGCACUAGACUCUUAAUCUCAGAGUUGUGUGUUAGUGCUCCAUGUUGGGCG